GUCCACGCCCUAAACGAUGUCUACUAGUUGUCGGGUUUUAAUUAACUUGGUAACGCAGCUAACGCGUGAAGUAGACCGCCUGGGGAGUACGGUCGCAAGAUUAAAACUCAAAGGAAUUGACGGGGACCCGCACAAGCGGUGGAUGAUGUGGAUUAAUUCGAUGCAACGCGAAAAACCUUACCUACCCUUGACAUGGAAGGAAUCCCCGAGAGAUUGGGGAGUGCUCGAAAGAGAACCUUUACACAGGUGCUGCAUGGCUGUCGU
This 264-nucleotide ribosomal RNA is filed under the name uncultured bacterium. Its description in RNAcentral is "partial 16S ribosomal RNA". It matches the Rfam family "Bacterial small subunit ribosomal RNA", at positions 793 to 1055 of the family's 1533-position model. The record is from RNAcentral.